This 435-nucleotide ribosomal RNA is filed under the name uncultured bacterium. RNAcentral's name for it is "partial 16S ribosomal RNA". It matches the Rfam family "Bacterial small subunit ribosomal RNA", at positions 28 to 507 of the family's 1533-position model. The record is from RNAcentral.
AGCGAACGCUGGCGGCAGGCUUAACACAUGCAAGUCGAGCGGGCACUUUCGGGUGUCAGCGGCGGACGGGUGAGUAACGCGUGGGAACGUGCCCUCUGGUUCGGAAUAACUCAGGGAAACUUGAGCUAAUACCGGAUACGCCCUUUUGGGGGAAGGCUGGCGGCCGUAGGAUCGGCCCGCGUCUGAUUGGCUAGUUGGUGGGGUAACGGCACACCAAGGCGACGAUCAGUAGCUGGUCUGAGAGGAGGAUCAGCCACACUGGGACUGAGACACGGCCCAGACCCCUACGGGAGGGAGCAGUGGGGAAUAUUGGACAAUGGGGGCAAGCCUGAUCAAGCCAUGCCGGGUGAGUGAUGAAGGCCUUAGGGUUGUAAAGCUCUUUUAUCCGGGACGAUAAUGACGGUACCGGAGGAAUAAGCCCCGGCUAACUUCGUG